RNAcentral lists this transfer RNA (51 nucleotides) under Acetobacteraceae bacterium. RNAcentral describes it as "tRNA-Ser". It matches the Rfam family "tRNA", at positions 25 to 71 of the family's 71-position model. From Rfam's summary of the family: Transfer RNA (tRNA) molecules are approximately 80 nucleotides in length. The record is from RNAcentral. Lineage: Bacteria; Pseudomonadati; Pseudomonadota; Alphaproteobacteria; Acetobacterales; Acetobacteraceae.
GCUUGAAUGGCAUUCAAGAGGUCGGCGGUUCGAUCCCGCCUGGCUCCACCA